Molecule: long non-coding RNA, 2758 nt
Filed under: Citrus sinensis (sweet orange)
Lineage: Eukaryota; Viridiplantae; Streptophyta; Magnoliopsida; Sapindales; Rutaceae
Description: long non-coding RNA (CSIN_LNC004927)
Source: RNAcentral
ACAGACAAAUCCCUGAUUGAAAUAAACAAAAAAAAACACCCACUACUCACUCACUUACCUCACACACGCCAAACGCCUCACCACUCCCUCACCACACACCUCACCACGGUCAUCAACGGCGACGGCUGAAGGAGUUCCUAGGCAACGAUCAACGGCGGCACAAGCACGGGCUGAUCUCCUUCUUCGGCAACGAUCAACGGCGGGGUUAGUAAAAGUCAUGUAAAGAAAUUCUUUACACAACUGCAUUGGAGUCAUCAACGGCGACGGCUGAAGGAGUUCCUAGGCAACGAUCAACGACGGCACAAGGAUGGGCUGAUCUCCACCGUCGGCAACGAUCAACGAAGGCAGAAGGACGGGCUGAUCUUCUUCGUUGACAAUGAUCAACGGCGGCACAAGCACAGCGCCCUCAGCCCCUUCAGGAAUACAUGCAACAGUUUAUAAAAUUUUGUUUCCCGUAAGUACUGUGAUGGGUUUUGUUUGGUUUGUGAGAAAAGUGAGGAAAUUUUAAGAAAAUAAUGUUUUUUGUUUUUAGGGUUUAUGUUGGUUUUGAUGAAAUUUGGUGUGUGUUGUUAAUUUUGUGGCGCAUAGGUUGUUGCGGCAUAUGCAAUUAGGCAUGUGGCUGCUGUAGUGAGUAUGGCCAAGGUUGCAAUUUCAUUCCCUCACAUCAUUAAGGGUAGAGAGCUUGCUUUCAGUGUUUUGGUUUCAACGUUUCUUCUGGAUCAGACAUUUCUUUUGCCAGUUUAUAUGUCCCUUGUUCCAAUGAUUUUGGUUGUGCUCUUACUGCUGUGACCAAGCUAAAGUUAAACAUGACUGGUAAUCAGAAUUUUCCUUUAUUUCUGGAAACUGAAACAGCAGUGUAUAUGAUAUAUUCACUUGUUAUCUAGUAAACUUGGUAUAAAUGAUUCUUUUAUAAUUCUUUGUUCCUUGCUUUCAAUUAGAGAUGUGAACUAAAUUAUUAAUUUGGGAAUCAUUUAUCGUUUUUUUCCCCUUUUUAUUUGAUUCUUUAGUUUUGUUUGUUGGUUUCCACAAAACCUUUUUAUUUCCUCAAUUUUGCCAUCUUUCUUUGCAUGAGCUGCAUAUGAUCAUUUGAGUAACAUUAUAAUAACAUUUUUUAAUGGGAACUUUUUACUUGUUUAUAAGUAAUAUGUAUAUUGAAUGGGAACUAGGAAUAGUGUGUUUAAAGUCCUGAACUGUUUUUGCCAUUUUGAUUUUGAUGUAAAGUAAUUUUCAUUGUUUUAAGGGAAUGGAUUUAGGUUAAUAUUGAUUGUAACUAGAUAAGUCCUUUUAUGUAAUAAGUUUGAAGGAUUGGUUUUGUAAAUUCAAUGUAAUGGCUUAAAAAAGGCUAUUAAAUUGGCUUAGGUUGCCACAAGCUAUAACUAAAUCAGAAACAUAAUACAUUUUACUUCUACAAAAUUAGUUCAUUCUUGGUAUGGAGGAUUAAAAUUUGUACAAUGAUAGAUAAAAUCAAUGUUAUCCUUAUCUAAUACACGCUUUGAUUUAGAAAUAGCAUAUUACAACAUGCAUGUUAACUGUUCGAUAAAAUGCCUAUUAAAAUUCUCAGACCUAUUUCAAGCUCAAGUAUUGCAUGUCCCUUAAGAUAAUGACAUUUUCAUUGUUUUAUAUUGCAGAUUUGAGAUUUUUUGGGUGCCUAUAUAACAAGUUAACAAUGGCGGCUUAAUAGUUUAAAAGGGAAGGUAAUCUCUCUUCAUAUCUUCUCGAGGAUUCUUCUUUAUGUAUUUCAAUUAUGUCUUACAUAUGUAUUAAAUAGAGGUUUUGAUUAAAAGCUUUUUGUUUUCAAAAUUAAAUUUCUUAUUAAGGGGUUGAUUUUUAGCUAAAUUGUGAUUGCUUGCUGAGAAAUUGGAUUGUGUCAUGAGAUUUUGUACUCUAUUGGUUUAUUUUUUCUGCUGUACGGCCAAGGCGGAUGUACGGUACAGCAGAUAGAGUGGAUCCAAUGGCUGAGAUUUGUUUAAUUAUUAAAUGAUUAAAAAAAUUUGAAAGAACAAACCUAUAAAAUUGAAAUAAACAAAAAAAAAAACCCCACCACUCAUUCACUUACCUCACACACGCCAAACGCCUCACCACUCCCUCACCACACGCCUCACCACGGCCAUCAACGGCGACGGCUGAAGGAGUUCCUAGGCAACGAUCAACGGCGGCACAAGGACGGGCUGAUCUCCACCGUCGGCAACGAUCAACGAAGGCAGAAGGACGGGCUGAUCUUCUUCGUUGACAAUGAUCAACGGCGGCACAAGCACAGCGCCCUCAGCCCCUUCAGGAAUACAUGCAACAGUUUAUAAAAUUUGAAUCAGUGGAAUUUGCCAUACAUUUGUCAAUAUUAUGCCAUGUACUGAAAUGAUGUAAAGCAUGAGCUUCAAAGUUUACUCUAUUUUUUUUAAUUUUUAAUUGCUUAUUUAUUAAUUGCAUAAUGUGUUUUCAAAUGAGCUUAUGUUUAUUAGAAAAAAAAAGGGCCAGAUUGUUUUUGUGUAUAAAUUAGGGGUGGGCGCGGUUCGGUUCGGUUCGGUUUUUUACUAAAUAUUUCAUAAUCAUUCGAUUACGAUUAUUUUAAAAUCAUAAUCGUGAUUAAUCAAAUUACCGAAAUAAUUAAAUACUCGAUUAAUUAAAAUAAUUCGAUUCGAUUUGGUUCGAUUAUUUCGAUUUGGACCUAUUAGACCUAUUUUGGGCUUUUUUCAAAUUUAAAACCUUAAAUUAUGAUAAAUGAAUUUAAGUUUUUUUUUUAAUUAGAAUAUUAAGAAUCUGC